RNAcentral lists this ribosomal RNA (496 nucleotides) under uncultured bacterium. RNAcentral's name for it is "bacterial SSU rRNA". It matches the Rfam family "Bacterial small subunit ribosomal RNA", at positions 28 to 531 of the family's 1533-position model. The record is from RNAcentral.
GACGAACGCUGGCGGCGUGCCUAACACAUGCAAGUCGAGCGGAGAUGUACGGAAGGUUUACCGGAAGUACAUCUUAGCGGCGGACGGGUGAGUAACGCGUGGGCAACCUGCCUUUUACUGGGGGAUAACACAGGGAAACUUGUGCUAAUACCGCAUGAUAUCACAUGGGGCAUCCUGUGUGAUCAAAGGAGCAAUCCGGUAAAAAGAUGGGCCCGCGUCCGAUUAGCUAGUUGGUGAGGUAACGGCUCACCAAGGCGACGAUCGGUAGCCGGACUGAGAGGAUGGUCGGCCACACUGGGACUGAGACACGGCCCAGACUCCUACGGGAGGCAGCAGUUGGGAAUCUUGGGCAAUGGGCGAAAGCCUGACCCAGCGACGCCGCGUGGAGGAAGAAGUCCUUGGGCGUAAACUCCUGGACUGGGGACGAGGAAGGACGGUACCCACGUAGAAAGGGACGGCUAACUACGUGCCAGCAGCCGCGGUAAGGCUACGUAGA